Neltuma alba is the source of this 104-nucleotide long non-coding RNA. RefSeq lists it as uncharacterized. The transcript has 3 exons. The record is from RefSeq and is a predicted model, not a curated record. NCBI's taxonomy places the organism in Eukaryota, Viridiplantae, Streptophyta, Magnoliopsida, Fabales, Fabaceae.
AGAAACGGAACAUAACAUUGCAACUUAAAAUCUACUCUCAAAUUCACCAAGAUAAUAGUAAAAAGACAGAGAAAAAGGCAACUUUCAGUGAUGAAGAUAAGACU